Molecule: long non-coding RNA, 323 nt
Organism: Pieris napi
Lineage: Eukaryota; Metazoa; Arthropoda; Insecta; Lepidoptera; Pieridae
Exons: 3
Source: RefSeq, a predicted model, not a curated record
UAUAGGUAAGUGCCGUUUUGGGUAAUGGUAUUUGUAAUGAUUGUAUGGUAUAUACCAAAUGCAAGGCGGCAUUUGAUCACGCGACCUUAAAGCGAGACAGAGAAACAAUGCAAAUGUUUUCCACAGCUUUUUGCGGCAUGGGAUAUGAAAAUGGCGAAAGGAUACAUCAGGUAUGCUGUUCCAAUUUUCCACCACUUAAUACGAGGCCUUCGUUUGGCACCAGAAGCGGAACAAGUAAAGAUCACCUUCUACCAGAAACGUGUGGAAGUAUUUUGGGAAAUCGUAUCUUUGGAGGCAAAUACGCUAAACUCUACGAAUCCCUU